GAUGAACGCUGGCGGCGUGCCUAAUACAUGCAAGUCGAGCGAACGGACGAGAAGCUUGCUUCUCUGAUGUUAGCGGCGGACGGGUGAGUAACACGUGGAUAACCUACCUAUAAGACUGGGAUAACUUCGGGAAACCGGAGCUAAUACCGGAUAAUAUUUUGAACCGCAUGGUUCAAAAGUGAAAGACGGUCUUGCUGUCACUUAUAGAUGGAUCCGCGCUGCAUUAGCUAGUUGGUAAGGUAACGGCUUACCAAGGCAACGAUGCAUAGCCGACCUGAAAGGGUGAUCGGCCACACUGGAACUGAGACACGGUCCAGACUCCUACGGGAGGCAGCAGUAGGGAAUCUUCCGCAAUGGGCGAAAGCCUGACGGAGCAACGCCGCGUGAGUGAUGAAGGUCUUCGGAUCGUAAAACUCUGUUAUUAGGGAAGAACAUAUGUGUAAGUAACUGUGCACAUCUUGACGGUACCUAAUCAGAAAGCCACGGCUAACUACGUG
Molecule: ribosomal RNA, 497 nt
Filed under: uncultured bacterium
Lineage: Bacteria
Description: partial 16S ribosomal RNA
Rfam family: Bacterial small subunit ribosomal RNA
Source: RNAcentral